UAUGAUAGAAGCGUGGCAAGGUGUGGCUGCUGUGUCACAUGUACGUCAGUAGAUGGCAGAGAGGAGAGAGGCUAUGUCAACACUCAGUGUUCUGACCUAUGAACAUCUGAAUGGUCAGUAGCCUAACUCU
This 130-nucleotide small nucleolar RNA is filed under the name Mus spretus (western wild mouse). RNAcentral's name for it is "predicted gene, 24578 (ENSMSPG00010002459.1)". It matches the Rfam family "Small nucleolar RNA SNORA17". From Rfam's summary of the family: snoRNA ACA 17 belongs to the H/ACA family of snoRNAs and is predicted to guide pseudouridylation of the 28S rRNA at positions U4659 and U4598. It shares the same host gene together with ACA43. The record is from RNAcentral. Lineage: Eukaryota; Metazoa; Chordata; Mammalia; Rodentia; Muridae.